Molecule: ribosomal RNA, 465 nt
Filed under: Vreelandella stevensii
Lineage: Bacteria; Pseudomonadati; Pseudomonadota; Gammaproteobacteria; Oceanospirillales; Halomonadaceae
Description: partial 16S ribosomal RNA
Rfam family: Bacterial small subunit ribosomal RNA
Source: RNAcentral
CCUACGGGUGGCUGCAGUGGGGAAUAUUGGACAAUGGGCGAAAGCCUGAUCCAGCCAUGCCGCGUGUGUGAAGAAGGCCUUCGGGUUGUAAAGCACUUUCAGUGGGGAAGAAAGCCUUGGGGCUAAUACCCUCGAGGAAGGACAUCACCCACAGAAGAAGCACCGGCUAACUCCGUGCCAGCAGCCUCGGUAAUACGGAGGGUGCGAGCGUUAAUCGGAAUUACUGGGCGUAAAGCGCGCGUAGGCGGUCUGAUAAGCCGGUUGUGAAAGCCCCGGGCUCAACCUGGGAACGGCAUCCGGAACUGUCAGGCUAGAGUGCAGGAGAGGAAGGUAGAAUUCCCGGUGUAGCGGUGAAAUGCGUAGAGAUCGGGAGGAAUACCAGUGGCGAAGGCGGCCUUCUGGACUGACACUGACGCUGAGGUGCGAAAGCGUGGGUAGCAAACAGGAUUAGAUACCCUGGUAGUC